AAAAAAAAAAAAAAAAAAAAAAAAGAAAGAAGCAUUUCUAUUACAAUUCAAAAAAUGUAUUCUAUUCUGCAAUUUUGCAAACAUCAGGCUAAGGUUUCCAGUGAUAGUAUUUUGUAGUUGAUAGUCUGGUGAUCUGAUAUGGCAGCAGACCAAUAUCUGUAAGUUUUUACCAUUUCUUCAACAUUCAGAAUACCAUUUGGAACAGUUUUUAUAUGCACAGAAUUUUUGUGUCUUAACCACAGGCCUCGAUGGAAAGCGUGUGAUUGUAGCGGCUCUCAUGCUAGUCUUUUUUUUUUUUUAAUUUUUCUUCUUCUCUUCAAACCAUGCAGUAAUAAUGGUAAUAAAUGACUGUAUAUUUUUUCUGACAAAGAAGUUUAAAUCAUUGGCAUCAUCAUUUGAUGUUUUGGGAAGGAAUGUUUUUGAUUUUGUUUUGAGUCAUUGCCAGUUGUCAGCCCUAAUUUGACAUGAAACCUGAAGGUUUGGAGAGGUUUUUUUUAAACUUUUUAUUUUUAGAUAGGACUCUCUACUUUUUAAUGUUUCUGGCUGCUUUGUUAGAGAUCAUAGUCACACAUAUACAUCGCAAGUGUGAGUGAAGAUUUCUUUCUUUCUCUCUAAUAUAAAUCCCUUGAUAUUUAUUUAUUUAUUUAUUUAUUUAUUUUUGCCAUUUCUUGGGCCGCUCCUGCGGCAUGUGGAGGUUCCCAGGCUAGGGGCCCAGUCGGAGCUGUAGCCACUGGCCUACGCCAGAGCCACAGCAACGCGGGAUCCGAGCCGCAUCUGCAACCUACACCACAGCUCACGUCAACACCGGAUCGUUAACCCACUGAGCAAGGGCAGGGACCGAACCUGCAACCUCAUGGUUCCUAGUCGGGUUCGUUAUCCACUGCGCCACGACGGGAACUCCCUCCCUUGAUAUUUAGAUUGCAUUCCCAAGAGAUCACUGUAAUUUCCACUAUCAUUUUUAGGAAUUGACCUGAUUGUACUUAAUUUAUAAAAGUGUAUGCCUAAUUUCAAAGGGUUGUAAGAUUUGUGAUGGAAAAUAAAUCGCUUAGCAAAUAACAUAGUCUUCUACUUCUUAAACUCCAGGCAUUAGACUGAGCUGCACAAUUUAACAAUUCAAUUCAAUAAAUAGUAAUGAACACCUACCACGAUCCAGCCACUGUUAAGAGAUGCCGGGAUUGUGAAGAUGAGUAACACAUUGUCCCUAAGGACGUGGGUUGGGAAUGGGGAAACAGAUGUUAUAGCUAAUGGACAUCUGCAUUGUGCUUUAGCAUUUGCCAUUUAAUUUUAACUCUAAAAUACGGUUUAACAAAGAAGAAUUAUGCUUCCUCCUCUCUUCUUAAUUUUAAGAAUAUCUGCAAAAUCCUUUUAUGUAGAUUGAAUUCCACAGAAUCAAAUUAACGAUAUCCUGUGUUUGGUGAGGAGAAAAAAAUGACUUCCUAUGAUAGUUGCGAUAGUGGUAAUAGUAAUAGCAGAAGUGCGAAUGAUGACAGUGGUAUGUCAGAAACUUAUUGAGCCUCUCUCAUGGAUCAGGUGUGGUCCUAAAUACAUUUUACAAUUCAUCUCACUUUAUCCUUACGUAUUAGUUUAAGUCUUUCCAGAAGCAAAUGCCAAGGCAGAGUCAACAGGCAAGCAUUUUGUAAAACUGCCUUUGAGAGGAAAUGGGGAGUGAGCUGGGAGAGGCUGGAGGGUCUGCCAGGUUUUGAUGCACAUUUCACCUCAGGUGAGAGAGAGAGAGAGAAGGAAACAUUAAGACGUCACUUUGCUGUACAGCAGAAAUUGACAGCACAUUGUAAAUCAACUAUAAUUAAAAAAUUAACGGGAGUUACCAUCAUGGUGCAAUGGAAACGAUUCUGACUAGGAACCAUGAGGUUGCAGGUUUGAUACCUGGCCUCGCUCAGUGAGUUAAGGAUCCCAUGCUGCCGCAAGCUGUGGUUUAGGUCGCAGACACGGCUCUGAUCUGACAUUGCUGUGGCUCUGGCAUAAGCCAGCAGCUACAGCUCUGAUUAGACUCCUGCCGAGUCCAGCUCAGCAGGAUGGGGCUGAAGAACGGGUGCUAUGGAACUUAAGGAGAAAAAAGUUAACAUAAAACAAGACACAGAGACAUUUACCUUAAGUAAAGGUGGAAACCCGGGGACUCACGGUCUCAAGGACCAAAAGCCCCGCCUCAAGAAACCACACUGCUUUUAUUGUGCUCUGAGGAUUACUUCAAGCAAAAGGGGGUUGUAGGUGCAGGGUAUAGGUUUUUUUUAAUUAUUAUUUUAAAAGUCACUUAGCUGGUAAAUGGUUAAACUUUUUACCCUAAACUUUAGGCAUUUAAGAAUCGUUAACAUUCGAGUUAGCUAUCUAUGCAUAGCAUUUCAGAUAAUCCUCACUGUGCUUCUGCAAAGGGCAGGCUUGCUUGUGGCAACCCUGGGUGCCUAGGUUUGCACCUUGGUUCUCUUUUCUAAUGCAUAUUCUGUUUACGGCCACUCAUAAACCACUUGGUCAUGAGGUUCCUCUUUCUCUUAUUCUUUAGAGGACAUAUCAUGCUUGUGCAAAUGGUGUGCCAUUCUGCACAGGUCGGUGGGCUGAGACCAUUGUAUUAUGUCCUCAUUCAGCUGACCCCGCGAAUAACCCAUGCCCUUAGGUCUUUGUUCUUAAGCUUAAGUCAUUUACCAUCACCAAGACUGUUUUUCAAGCAGGAAGACUGGACAAAGUAAGGAAAGACAAGAUGGAGUUUUCAGCAAACAGGCUAAGAAAAUAUUAUAAAAACAUGUCUCGCAACAGACCCCUAGCCUGGGAACCUCCAUAUGU
This 2793-nucleotide long non-coding RNA is filed under the name Sus scrofa (pig). RNAcentral's name for it is "lncRNA (ENSSSCG00060065825.1)". Lineage: Eukaryota; Metazoa; Chordata; Mammalia; Artiodactyla; Suidae. The record is from RNAcentral.